Molecule: ribosomal RNA, 468 nt
Filed under: uncultured bacterium
Lineage: Bacteria
Description: partial 16S ribosomal RNA
Rfam family: Bacterial small subunit ribosomal RNA
Source: RNAcentral
GACGAACGCUGGCGGCGUGCUUAACACAUGCAAGUCGAACGGAAAGGCCCUGCUUUUGUGGGGUGCUCGAGUGGCGAACGGGUGAGUAACACGUGAGUAACCUGCCCUUGACUUUGGGAUAACUUCAGGAAACUGGGGCUAAUACCGGAUAGGAGCUCCUGCUGCAUGGUGGGGGUUGGAAAGUUUCGGCGGUUGGGGAUGGACUCGCGGCUUAUCAGCUUGUUGGUGGGGUAGUGGCUUACCAAGGCUUUGACGGGUAGCCGGCCUGAGAGGGUGACCGGCCACAUUGGGACUGAGAUACGGCCCAGACUCCUACGGGAGGCAGCAGGGGGGAAUAUUGCACAAUGGGCGGAAGCCUGAUGCAGAAACGCCGCGUGCGGGAUGACGGCCUUCGGGUUGUAAACCGCUUUCGCCUGUGACGAAGCGUGAGUGACGGUAAUGGGUAAAGAAGCACCGGCUAACUACGUG